UACGAGGGGUGCAAGCGUUGUUCGGAAUCACUGGGCGUAAAGGGAGCGUAGGCGGAACUCCAAGUCGGUCGUACAAUGCCGGGGCCCAACCCCGGACCUGCGGCCGAGACUGGUUUUCUUGAGUUAUUCAGAGGCAAGCGGAAUUCCUAGUGUAGCGGUGGAAUGCGUAGAGAUUAGGAAGAACACCAAUGGCGAAGGCAGCUUGCUGGGGAUUGACUGACGCUGAGGCUCGAAAGCGCGGGUAGCAAACAGG
RNAcentral lists this ribosomal RNA (253 nucleotides) under uncultured bacterium. RNAcentral describes it as "partial 16S ribosomal RNA". It matches the Rfam family "Bacterial small subunit ribosomal RNA", at positions 524 to 776 of the family's 1533-position model. The record is from RNAcentral.